GUGUGAUUGAAAUUUCUCGGCCUCUUUGGAUCUCUCGGCUUUCUCCAUUGGUUUUGUUGCUCAAACCAAUUUCCAUUCCCUCGCAGCGAGAGGUGUAGUGUUAAAGGAAAGGUAAGAGAUGGAUUUGGACCAGUGGAUCGCGAAGGUGAAGGAAGGGCAGCAUCUUCUGGAAGACGAGCUUCAGCUUCUUUGCGAAUAUGUAAAAGAGAUCCUCAUUGAGGAGUCCAAUGUGCAGCCAGUGAAUAGCCCGGUAACUGUUUGUGGUGAUAUUCAUGGCCAAUUUCAUGAUCUGAUGAAACUUUUCCAGACAGGGGGUCAUGUACCUGAGACAAAUUAUAUCUUUAUGGGAGACUUUGUUGAUAGAGGGUACAAUAGUCUAGAAGUUUUCACCAUCCUAUUACUUCUUAAAGCUAGAUACCCAGCUAAUAUUACCCUUUUACGAGGAAACCAUGAAAGUAGGCAACUAACCCAGGUCUAUGGAUUUUAUGAUGAAUGCCAGAGGAAGUAUGGAAAUGCUAAUGCAUGGCGGUAUUGUACAGAUGUUUUUGACUACCUAACACUUUCAGCAAUAAUAGAUGGAACUGUGCUCUGUGUUCAUGGCGGUCUUUCUCCUGACAUUCGAACAAUUGAUCAGAUAAGGGUUAUUGAUCGAAAUUGUGAAAUUCCACAUGAGGGACCCUUUUGUGAUCUGAUGUGGAGUGAUCCUGAAGAUAUUGAGACAUGGGCUGUGAGUCCCCGUGGGGCAGGCUGGCUUUUUGGAUCCAGGGUCACUUCUGAGUUCAAUCACAUAAAUAAUCUUGAUCUUGUUUGUCGUGCCCAUCAACUUGUGCAAGAAGGCCUCAAGUAUAUGUUUCAAGAUAAAGGCCUUGUAACUGUAUGGUCUGCACCUAAUUAUUGUUACCGAUGUGGAAACGUUGCUUCUAUUUUGAGCUUCAAUGAAAAUAUGCUAAAAGAUUUAUUCAAGUAUCUCCCGACACAAGCACUCACCAGAAAGGCAAAGGCUUCUCAAAACUACAUUGGCACAUAACAAACUACUGGCUUGAUAGGCUAGCUCUCUUCACCGAAAGUUCUUCAAACUUCUUCUGAUAUACUUUCCUUGUUUCCUACUUCAAUGCUAUCCCCGUCACUGCUUGGAUUGUACUUCUGGUGAUGGUUCCAGGAGAGAGAGGUUAAAUUUUUCACUGAAACGGAGGAGAACAACCAGAUGAGGGGGCCUAGGACAGGCGUUCCAUAUUUCUUGUAACUGAAUUUUGGUUUAUCGUAAAAUUUGUAAUAGUAAAAUGGCUUUAUUAUUGUAUUUGGACAUUGAUUGUUGUGUAAUGUGGGUUUUUGGAUUGCAACACUUAAAAGGUGGAUCUAAUUAUUUGCCACUUGAUUCCCAUUUUUCUUUUUCCCUUCCUAUUUUUUCUCUAAAAUUCUUUCAAUGUACUAAAACGCUUAAAUAGCAGUGCUCAUUUUUACCCACAAGGAUUACCUUUGACGGGGGAAGAUUGGUAUCCUUCAGGCUUGAUUUGGACGGUUAGUUGUUGGAUCAUUCUUUAUUUUCUCAUGUUGCGAAAUACAAUGCUAGCAAGUCUGGCACUUCCACACCGAAUCUUAGAACUCUUUGUAUCAAUGAAAUUUCGUAAAAUU
This is an RNA transcript of Prosopis cineraria, 1632 nucleotides long. It is a transcript of the gene named phytochrome-associated serine/threonine-protein phosphatase, with no coding region annotated. The transcript is spliced from 11 exons. The record is from RefSeq and is a predicted model, not a curated record. Lineage: Eukaryota; Viridiplantae; Streptophyta; Magnoliopsida; Fabales; Fabaceae.